CAGGAAGCAUCAGAUAGCUCCGUGCGUCUCUGAGCCAUCAGUCAACGCGCCAAGUCUGGCCUUCACUCCUGACUUGGCCCCAGCUCCUGGCAGAGGAGAGCCUCCGGAGGGGGGAGGGCCUCCAGCCUCACACAGACUUAAAGGGACAAAACCUAUCACGUUGCUUCUCCAAGGAGGACUUGGGAGUUGGCUUUAAGUGUCCCUUCUCUUUUCUUUGACCCCCUUGUAGACAGUCUGUGCCCCCAGAUUGCUGAGAUGCCUGGGCAAUGAGAAGCAGAGGGCAGGACUCCACCUGAGGUUGUCCUUGGGAAAUGGCCUCUGUGAAGCCAGGCUUGACUUUGCAUUCCAGCAUGUCUGGCUCUUGGCACACUUGUCACUCCUGGCCCUGGCUGAGUUAUCCAGAUGCUCACGUUUAUCAUCACGUUACAGUAUGUGACCCACGUGACUUGUGGGUACAGAGAGUCCUCUCCCUAGCAACUCCAGCCUAACCUAGAGUGGGUCAGAUCCCCCCAAAGUUAGGAGGGGUUUGAUUCUGUAAGACUUCAAAACUCAGAGAGUCUGAACCCUAACAAAAACUCGUGGUUGGUCUUCUGAGAAGAUAGCAAGAAGGAAAACAUAAUCUAAUAUCAGCAGUAAAGUAAAAGCAAAUAAGAAACGAACGUCUUCAACUAUACACCUGAAAUUGUAACACAAUACUGUAAAUCAACUAUACUCCAAUAAAAAUUUUUUUAAAAUGAUGCA
This is a long non-coding RNA of Bos indicus x Bos taurus (hybrid cattle), 741 nucleotides long. The record is from Ensembl. Lineage: Eukaryota; Metazoa; Chordata; Mammalia; Artiodactyla; Bovidae.